AUAUCCAUAGCUCAAUUGGUAGAGCAUUUACCUUCUAAGUAAAAUUGUGUGGGUUCAAAUCCUACUGGGUAUA
This 73-nucleotide transfer RNA is filed under the name Oscarella pearsei. RNAcentral describes it as "tRNA-Arg". It matches the Rfam family "tRNA". Rfam says of the family: Transfer RNA (tRNA) molecules are approximately 80 nucleotides in length. Their secondary structure includes four short double-helical elements and three loops (D, anti-codon, and T loops). The record is from RNAcentral. Lineage: Eukaryota; Metazoa; Porifera; Homoscleromorpha; Homosclerophorida; Oscarellidae.